Molecule: ribosomal RNA, 187 nt
Filed under: uncultured rumen bacterium
Lineage: Bacteria
Description: partial 16S ribosomal RNA
Rfam family: Bacterial small subunit ribosomal RNA
Source: RNAcentral
UAUGGGAGGCAGCAGUGAGGAAUAUUGGUCAAUGGGCGCAACCCUGAACCAGCCAUGCCGCGUGAGGGAAUAAGGCCCUACGGGUCGUAAACCUCUUUUGCCGGGGGAUAAGGACGCCCACGUGUGGGUGUUUGAAGGUACCCGGAGAAUAAGCAUCGGCUAACUCCGUGCCAGCAGCCGCGGUAAU